AUACGUAGGGUGCGAGCGUUGUCCGGAAUUACUGGGCGUAAAGAGCUCGUAGGUGGUUUGUCGCGUCGUCUGUGAAAUUCCGGGGCUUAACUCCGGGCGUGCAGGCGAUACGGGCAUAACUUGAGUACUGUAGGGGAGACUGGAAUUCCUGGUGUAGCGGUGAAAUGCGCAGAUAUAAGGAGGAACACCGGUGGCGAAGGCGGGUCACUGGGUAGUAACUGACGCUGAGUAGCGAAAGCAUGGGUAGCGAACAGGAUUAGAUACCCUGGUAGUCCAUGCCGUAAACGGUGGGCGCUAGGUGUAGGGGUCUUCCACGACUUCUGUGCCGUAGCUAACGCAUUAAGCGCCCCGCCUGGGGAGUACGGCCGCAAGGCUAAAACUCAAAGGAAUUGACGGGG
This 398-nucleotide ribosomal RNA is filed under the name uncultured bacterium. RNAcentral describes it as "partial 16S ribosomal RNA". It matches the Rfam family "Bacterial small subunit ribosomal RNA", at positions 523 to 918 of the family's 1533-position model. The record is from RNAcentral.